UGGGGAAUUUUACGCAAUGGGCGAAAGCCUGACGUAGCGACACCGCGUGAGCGAAGAAGCCCUUUGGGGUGUAAAGCUCUGUCGGCUGGAACGAAAAAAAUGACGGUACCAGCAAAGGAAGCAUCGGCUAACUACGUGCCAGCAGCCGCGGUAAGACGUAGGAUGCGAGCGUUGUCCGGAUUCAUUGGGCGUAAAGAGUUCGUAGGCGGUUUGUUAAGUCUGAUGUUAAAGGCCGGGGCCCAACCCUGGAACUGCAUUGGAUACUGGCAGACUGGAGUGCAGUAGAGGCAAGUGGAAUUCCCAGUGUAGCGGUGAAAUGCGUAGAUAUUGGGAAGAACACCGGUGGCGCAGGCGACUUGCUGGGCUGUAACUGACGCUGAGGAACGAAAGCUAGGGGAGCAAAUGGGAUUAGAUACCCCCGUAGUCC
This 427-nucleotide ribosomal RNA is filed under the name uncultured bacterium. RNAcentral describes it as "bacterial SSU rRNA". It matches the Rfam family "Bacterial small subunit ribosomal RNA", at positions 355 to 796 of the family's 1533-position model. The record is from RNAcentral.